UUAAUAGUAAGAUCUGCUCAAUGAAUAUUAAAUAGCCGCAAUUUGUGCUAAGGUAGCAUAAUAAUUUGUYUUUUAAAUAAAGACCAGAACAAAAGAUUUAACACUUUUAUUUAUAUAUUAUAUUUAAUAAAUUAAAUUUACCCUAAAUGUAAAAAGUCAUUCAUAUAAAAAAAAGACGACAAGACCCUAUUGAACUUAACUUUAGUUAAACUGGGGCAGUAAAUUAAUUAUUAUUUUAAAAUAAAUAAUAUAUUAAUUAUCCAAUUAAAUGAUAAUUCAGUUACCAUAGGGAUAACAGCGCAAUUAUAUUUUCAAGUUCUAAUAUAAAAUAUAGAUUACGACCUCGAUGUUGAAUUAAUAACCUAAACAAAGCAAAUUUUAAUAAAGGAAGUCUGUUCGACUUUUAAAAAAUUACAUGAUUUGAGUUCAGACCGGUAUAAGCCAGGUCGGUUUCUAUCUUUUAUAAAAAUUUAUACAGUACGAAAGGACCUAUAAAUUUAAUAUUAAUUUUAAUAUUAGCAAAAAAAUGCAUUAGAAUUAGAAUCUAAAAACACU
This 555-nucleotide ribosomal RNA is filed under the name Thorelliola aliena. RNAcentral describes it as "partial 16S ribosomal RNA". The record is from RNAcentral. Lineage: Eukaryota; Metazoa; Arthropoda; Arachnida; Araneae; Salticidae.